AGAAUGUACAACUAUUGUUACUAGUUAUUAUAACUCAAUACUAAUAUUGUUUAAUUCCAUCGAUCCCUCCCUCACCCUUCCCUCCCCUCGCCAAAAAAAGGAAGUGAUUUUCGAGACUUAUAUUUUUUUUUACGAUUACCCGGGCUCACGCGGGAAUGGUGGAGAGCGAAGAUGAGCGUAUGGUAAUGGUUGAAUAGCCCGAAUACGAUACAUGCAUAUUUUGUACGAACACAGAACCGAAAAAUAUAUUACGUUCAAACGAGACUACCUAUAAUGAUUAUUGAU
Cinara cedri is the source of this 285-nucleotide non-coding RNA. Lineage: Eukaryota; Metazoa; Arthropoda; Insecta; Hemiptera; Aphididae. The record is from the annotation of a GenBank genome assembly.